AUUCUGCAGCCCCGGGGAGACAGAAGUACAGCCCACGUUUUCUAGAACCACAGGAGAGGAACAAAGCUGGGGAACGAAUGGUUGUAGCCGUUGUCGUCCGGAGAUGGUGCCAAAAAGUGGGUUGUGUGUGUCCACGUAGUCUGACCCUGGCCCUCGUCGGUGUGCAAAUGCAGCAAUUCUGCCCACCUGCCUGCCCUUCCCACCCAUUCUGUUGGCGCGCACUGUGGAGCUAUGGCGCCCCCUGCCUGUAAAUGCCUUCUGCACUGACUUCUGGUCAACAGCCUGUUUUCAGGGCGGACUCAAAAUACGCGGCUCAGAAGGGCGACCCCAAACAGGACCUGUCGCAAACGUGACAAGCCGAGUUGAGAAUACCAGGCCCUUCCGUAAACUUUGGAAACUGACAAUCCUUCUCACCACCAAGAAGUGUUCUGAUGUCCUUCCUCUAGCCCGUCUUCAUCCCAGGAGCUCCAUUUCCAUCCCCAUUCAGAUAGCUCUUGGCUAAGAGCUUAAAACAGGCCAAGUACUAGCAGCACAGCUGGUUCAUGCCACUGUGACCAAGCCUUACUGUGUGCCGAGGGUUUGCUUCCAAAACCAGGCCAGUGGUCAAGCCGGAGGACCCCAGGAGACUGCCAGCAGUAGACAGACCCUGAGGAUGCGUAUAAUCCUACUAGCAUGAGUUCAUUUCUUCAAAGAAGUGUUGGCAAGGCUCUUGCCCUGGGGCCUCACAAUGCAGACUCCCGAUUUUCAAGUUCUCAGCAAACAUCAAGAAAAUUUUACUUUGUGGAGUAACUACCAACCUCAGUUCUCGUUUCCCCGCCCCCUCCCUAUUUGCUCCAGGACACGCGAUACACGGCUCCACCACCAGAGGGCAGCAGCGACCGCCCGUGGAAACUCAAAAGGCAACCGGGACCGGGUGGGUGGAAACCUGAACCUAUCUCCAGCUGUCAGAGAGGAGCCCCUCUUGUCACUGGAUCAAGGGCGCCAUAGACAAAUGUUCAGCAACUCAUUCGUUCCUUUUUUGCAACUUGUUUAUUGAGAAACAACCAUGUUCCUGCCUGUAAGGAGCUCAGUCUGGAGGAGGCAGUGUGUUGGGAGUUCCCGAGACCAGAGAGAUCAAUUUGGAGACUACAGCUGAGGGACCAGGAAGGUUGUGUUUGUUAUACUGGGUACAGUUGCACAGACGGCGAGCCAAUAGAGGCUGGAGGAGUGCUCAACUUGGGCAAAUGUACCGCAGCUGGAAAACCUUCUUUAGGUUUUCAGUGAUGAUGAGGGAGACAGGCCCAAGUAGUUGUCAAGGUAACGGGCUAAAUCAGGGAGGGCCUGAGUGCUGGUUGAAGGGGGCAGGAGAAUAGCUGCAAAAGAGACACCACAGGAUGCAAGAGAGUCCUGUCAAAACCAAGCAGGGGAGGAGAGGCUAGGGGUAUCUCUUAGUGGCCAUUGAAGAUGGCCAAAAAAAAAAAAAAGGGAAGGGCAAUUUCCAUUGAUAUGCCAGAGGUGAGGUUUCUCAGGAGACUAGAGCAGGCUGCUCUAUCGUGGAAUAACAAUCGCACAAAGAGAGGGAGGCUGAGAGGGAGACUUGGAGUCAGCGGGGCCCCACUUACCUUUGCAGGACCCCAGGUUUCUUCUCUCAGGCUUUGGCUUGGCUCUCGACCCAGAGACUGGCUGGCUGCGUUUGCCAGGGGGAGAAUUCACUUCUAAGAAAAAGAACUUGUUCUACUCCAUAUAACCAAGAGAGGGCUCCUGGCUUCCCACAAGCUGCUGUGUGCGCUCCCUCUUCAUCCUCGGUGACAGAGCCAGUCUGCAGGAAGCUGCACGGAGGAAAUGACCAAAAGCAACUAGCUCUGGCUCGGGUGUGGGGCACACGGCCACCAGUUCCAGCCUGCCUACCCAACCCAGCCCCACCUCAGUGGGAGGCUGGCAGAGCCCCAGCAGUACCAGGCCUAGAGUGUCGGAUUUGGACUCGGCUCUCCUGGUGAUGGUGGGGCUGGAGCUGUAGCUAAAAAUAGCCAGGAAUCCAGCCAGCUGCUGUAGAGAGCCUCCUCAGAGGUCAAGCCAGGCCAAGCUGGCCCGGCUGAGGAGAUACACACUCACUCACCCAGGGUGGCUUGCACCCUCAUCUGCAAGAUGUUCUGGGGGCCUGGGUCACUCUCGAUUGUCCAGGAAUUCCUGGAGAGCAGUGGAAAGCAAGAAAUUUCUUUCACUGGUUCUUGCCUCAAAACCCCUCAGGGAGCCUCCAGGACUACAACACAGAUCCCGGGGAGCAGAGGGUGACAGACUGUGGACUUUCAGGACAAAGUACAAAUUUGGGGGGGGUGUGGAGGCUGCACCCACCAAUCCCCUUCCCAGAGGCCCCAUAAAUCAAUUAUUGAGCUAUCCAAA
Long non-coding RNA from Mastomys coucha (southern multimammate mouse), 2379 nucleotides. RefSeq lists it as uncharacterized. The transcript is spliced from 2 exons. NCBI's taxonomy places the organism in Eukaryota, Metazoa, Chordata, Mammalia, Rodentia, Muridae. The record is from RefSeq and is a predicted model, not a curated record.